GGGGAUUUGGCUCAGUGGUAGAGCACUUGCCUAGGAAGCACAAGGUCCUGGGUUCAAUCCCCAGCCCCG
This is a non-coding RNA of Rattus norvegicus (Norway rat), 69 nucleotides long. Lineage: Eukaryota; Metazoa; Chordata; Mammalia; Rodentia; Muridae. The record is from Rfam.